UUCGUCUAGAGGCCCAGGACACCGCCCUUUCACGGCGGUAACAGGGGUUCGAAUCCCCACCACUUU
This 66-nucleotide transfer RNA is filed under the name Enterobacter hormaechei subsp. steigerwaltii. RNAcentral's name for it is "tRNA-Glu". The stretch from base 4 to 59 matches the Rfam family "tRNA", at positions 10 to 63 of the family's 71-position model. From Rfam's summary of the family: Transfer RNA (tRNA) molecules are approximately 80 nucleotides in length. Their secondary structure includes four short double-helical elements and three loops (D, anti-codon, and T loops). Further hydrogen bonds mediate the characteristic L-shaped molecular structure. tRNAs have two regions of fundamental functional importance: the anti-codon, which is responsible for specific mRNA codon recognition, and the 3' end, to which the tRNAs corresponding amino acid is attached (by aminoacyl-tRNA synthetases). tRNAs cope with the degeneracy of the genetic code in two manners: having more than one tRNA (with a specific anti-codon) for a particular amino acid; and 'wobble' base-pairing, i.e. permitting non-standard base-pairing at the 3rd anti-codon position. The record is from RNAcentral. RNAcentral also lists the same sequence under 1 other name. Lineage: Bacteria; Pseudomonadati; Pseudomonadota; Gammaproteobacteria; Enterobacterales; Enterobacteriaceae.